AGGGUUCGAUCUGGCGUCAGGAUGAACGCUAGCUACAGGCUUAACACAUGCAAGUCGAGGGGCAGCAUGGUCUUAGCUUGCUAAGAUUGAUGGCGACCGGCGCACGGGUGAGUAACGCGUAGUCCAACCUUCCCUAUAGUAGGGGAUAGCCCGUAGAAAUGCGGAUUAAUACCCUAUGUUGUAUUUAGAUGACAUCUGACGAAUACCAAAGGUUCACCGCUAUAGGAUGGGGAUGCGUCUGAUUAGGUAGUCGGCGGGGUAACGGCCCACCGAGCCAACGAUCAGUAGGGGUUCUGAGAGGAAGGUCCCCCACAUUGGAACUGAGACACGGUCCAAACUCCUACGGGAGGCAGCAGUGAGGAAUUAUUGGUCAAUGGGCGAGAGCCUGAACCAGCCAAGUAGCGUGCAGGAUGACGGCCCUAGUGGGGUUGUAAACUGUCUUUUAUGUGGGGAUAAAGUGGGGGACGUGUCCCUUAUUGUAGGUACCGCAUGAAUAAGGACCGGCUAAUUCCGUGCCAGCAGCUGC
This 526-nucleotide ribosomal RNA is filed under the name uncultured bacterium. RNAcentral's name for it is "bacterial SSU rRNA". It matches the Rfam family "Bacterial small subunit ribosomal RNA", at positions 8 to 518 of the family's 1533-position model. The record is from RNAcentral.